RNAcentral lists this unclassified non-coding RNA (433 nucleotides) under Hevea brasiliensis (rubber tree). Lineage: Eukaryota; Viridiplantae; Streptophyta; Magnoliopsida; Malpighiales; Euphorbiaceae. The record is from RNAcentral.
CAGGGAGUACAACAUUCCUGGGAAUAUAAUAUAACCCUUCUGCCAAACAUGAGAAAUGAUUUCCCAGUUUAUCUCAUUACUGGGAAUGGCAUGCCACUCCCCUCUACCAAACACCACUUAAAAAUUUUCAUCUGGGCAGGACAUGGAAGAAAAGUUUCCUUACUGCAAACCCACCCACUUCUUGAAGCUUAAUGCUGCUUCUCUCUUUUUUAGUUGUGCUUCUGUCUGGAAUUUGGGAGCUUUUCCCUUAUGAAGUGUUUUAUGGUACUUCAAGAAGAGGGUUCGAUACUUGUACUUGUCAAUGAACAUGUUCCCUUUCUCCAUCAUAUCAACAACUUCAUUUGCCCGAACAAAAAAUCCACCUCUAACAAAUGUAUAAAGUACAGAAUCCAGGAGUUCCUGAUCAAACAACAUUGAGGUGGCUGAAGCAAGA